Molecule: long non-coding RNA, 241 nt
Filed under: Gossypium raimondii (Peruvian cotton)
Lineage: Eukaryota; Viridiplantae; Streptophyta; Magnoliopsida; Malvales; Malvaceae
Description: long non-coding RNA (GRAI_LNC004184)
Source: RNAcentral
UAGCCUAUACUUUUUUUUUGUAUAAUUUCUUUUUAAAAAUAUAAUACAUCAAAAAUACUAAAAACACUAAAAUAAAUGGUUCCCAAUAAAUUAAAAAAUAAUAUCGAUACUUAAAUAACACUAAAAUAGAUAGGUGCAACUUAACAAGCAAAUGUCUCUAAAAUAGUAACAAAAUUAACAAUAAAAUAAGAGUUAUACGAUAUUCAACCCGUAACAACAAAAUAAUGAAAUGGUAACAAAA